GACGAACCGAGCGAACGUUGUUCGGAAUCACUGGGCUUAAAGAGCGCGUAGGCGGGCUGCCGCGUCCGGGGUGAAAUCCCACGGCUCAACCGUGGAACUGCCCCGGAUACGGGCGGCCUCGAGGGGGGUAGGGGCAUCUGGAACUGUGAGUGGAGCGGUGAAAUGCGUUGAUAUUCACAGGAACUCCGGUGGCGAAGGCGAGGUGCUGGACCCCUCCUGACGCUGAGGCGCGAAAGCCAGGGGAGCAAACGGG
This 253-nucleotide ribosomal RNA is filed under the name uncultured bacterium. RNAcentral's name for it is "partial 16S ribosomal RNA". It matches the Rfam family "Bacterial small subunit ribosomal RNA", at positions 524 to 776 of the family's 1533-position model. The record is from RNAcentral.